AGAGCAGGAAGGGCGCACACCACAGCCGGCGGAGCGGGCGUCCCCCGGAGCCCCUGCGCCAGAACUGCUGACUUGCAGCUUCACAUCAUUUUUGUUCUGUGGAAAACCGCAAAGGUUUUGUUUCCAUAAUUCGGCUCCUCUUCUUCGUCUUAGGUUUUAGAAAGUCUCCAAAGAGAAUGGCAAUUUAGUUCCUCCUCUUUCCUGCCCUCCACCCCAACCCUCCACCUUUUAAGAUUAAUUUUUAGUUCUGUCUUUGCAGAAGUUGUUUUAAAUCCCUGUACUAAAAAUUGUUGCUUUAUUCACACAAUACGCCAUUAAGGGCACACGGGUGAAUCAGAUGCCCCGUUAGUCCCUUUCCUUGCAAGUUCCUGGAGCUGUGAUCUCACUGGGAGGGGCUGAGUUUGGGAGCAGGCAUAAAAAGAAACAUGAUGAUAUUAGGCUCACUUGACAAGAAAUAAGCAGUUACACCUUGCCUUUUCCACACAGGAUGUAGUUCACCCAGGCUAUCAUCUGACAUUGCUAAGUCCCCUUCUGGUUGGUCUUGACUCACAACCCAUUCCUCAUUCUGGCCUCUCCAUCCUCACAGGACCCCCAGCCAGGGGAAACUUCCCAGCUUCCAGCGGGAAGUGCUGCUUCCCCAAAUUGGGCAGCACCUGGGGAUGCCUCUAGAUGCAUAAUCACCUCAGAGGUCCUGAGCCAGAGUCCAGAGAUUCUUUCUGAGAUUCUGGCAAGGCCCCGGGGUACUGAUGGAGGACUGGGAAGGUAGGAGAAGGCCACGGGGAGGGGGAGGCUGGACACAGGAGGGAUCUCCACUUCAUUUAUGUGCUCUUUGGUGCUUCGCUCUGAUGGUAAGUCACGUUGUCACUCUUGGCCAGACAGCCAGACUGUCCAAGCUGAAAACGUAAACAAAAGCUCCUUGCAGGAAGCAACAGGGUGCAAACUUGCCACCUGGGGGGCCUCUCUGCCACCCCUUGGCCAGCCCUCUCCUCCAGCAUCUGGCCCCACCCCGGCCCUGCCCGCCUGGCAUGUAAAGCACCCCCUCCUCUCCAAGCAUCCGUUCCUCAGCCGCUGUGUUCCUGUCGCAGGUCCCUGGAUGGGCCACACACAAACCUUCACUCAGCUUAUUCUUUCUAGGCCUUACCCUGCCUGCCCGGGAGAGGCCACUGUUCUCCACGGCUUCCCUUGCCCUGGCCAGCCCACUUCCUGCAGGAGUGCUCCGAAAUCGGUUUUGGUAGCACUGUGUUAAGGUUGCAGAUGGUGUUUUCAACACUGUACUCCGACUCUACUUGCAGGUUUCUCCACCUCAGUAGACCCUGAGCAUACCAGGGCAAGGUGUUAUAUUCUAAUUUGUGUCUCCAGUGGAGACACAGGUCCACAAUAUGCACUCAAUCAAGUCUUGCCAAACAUUUGCAGCACUCAGUUCUCGUCUUGUCCAACACUCACACCUGCUUCUGCUGCCCCCAAGUCAAGUACCCCUACCUAGUUUCUUGCUAACAUGUUAACAUGGUACCCCCCCCCACCAAGUGCCAAGCCCUUGUCCAUCACUCAGUGAUUCCCUGUACACAUGCAGUUACUUGUAACGUAUGCUGCUUCCUCUGCCAGUUAUGCUUUUCUGACUUCUCUUCUUGGCAAAUUCCUAUUCUGUCUAAAAAUCACUUCUUCCCUUGGCAACAUGCCACAAGUUCCACCUGACUCCUCUGUGCUCCCAGAGCACCUCAGAGAGGCCUCGUUGCAACCUCUGCCAUCUUCCGAGGACAUGGCUACAGAGCCACAGCUGGCAUGGUUUGCUGGAAGAACCAAGAGCUGAAAGGCAGAUUUACCAGGUGGUGCCCCCCCCAGGUGUCUGCAGAACCCACAUAUUCCAGUCUCCAGACCAUGGAAGCAGUGCUGUUUCCAGCUUGUCUCUGCCACAGGGUCCUUCUCUGCUCUCUCAGCCUGAAGGCCUCCUCUGUGUCUGUGAGUGGCUGGCUCCUUCUCAACCUUCAUUCAGGUCUCCGCUCAAACACCACCCUCACCACCAUGCCCACCUGCCAGCUACUAUCACACAGACCUUCAUUUUCUUCAUGAGGUGAUUCUGAAGAGAAAAUAAGCUUGGGAGCUAUCACCCUAACUUACUUAUUCCCUCAGUGAUGGAAUUUGGGGGACAUUUUCAUCUUUUGCCAUUUGAAACACUACAAUGAACAACUGCACAACUGUCAUUUCACAUGUGUGCAAGUCUAUGGGGUAAAUGCCCCCUCUAAGAUUGGUGGGUCAAAGAAUACGUGUUUAUAACCUGAGAGAUAUUGCCAAAUUCUCCUCUAUAGAUGUGCUAUUCUGCCGUCCUCCCAGCCAUGUGGGGUUGUUUUCCAAAGAGUGUGUUAUCAAAUAUUUUGGAUUUUUUCCAAUAUGAGAAGUGAAAAAAUGGUAUCUUGGUGUAGUUUUAAUUUGCAUUUCUCGUAUGAGUGAAAUCAAACUUUUUUUCUAUGCUUAGCUAUUUGUGUUUCUUCUUCUGUGAGCUAUCUGUUCAAUACUUCAUCCCAAAUCCUAUUGAACUGUUAGCCUCUUCCUUAACAAUUUCUAGGAGCUCUGUUUUACUUUGUUUUUUUAAACAAGGGAGAUUAGCUCUUUGUGAUAGAAGUUUCAGAUAUUUUUCUCAGUUUGGCAUCUGUCUUUGCUUAUGGUUUUUGGCCAUGCAGAAAGUUUUUUUGUAAUUUAAAUUCAAUUUUUAUGAAUGUUUUCUUUUCUGGCUUCUGGAUUUUGAGUUGAAACUAGAAAGGCUUUCUCUGCUCCAAGGUUAUAAAAAGGAACUCGCUAUGUGUUCUUCCAGGACUUUCAUAGUUUUGUUUACACUUUUACCUUGGAUUCACUUGGAGUCUAGCCUGGUACAUGGUAUAAUGUAUGAACCUAAUUUACUUUCUUUUCCAGAGAAAAGAAACAUGGCAUGAUUGGGCCAUAAUUUACAUGCCCCAAUCCAGUAAAUCAAGAGUUUAUCUUAGUCCCAAUGAUUUGUGAAGCUACCUUUAUCGAAUAACUAAAUUUCCACAGGUACUUGCAUCUACAUUUGGACUUUCUAUUCUGUUCCAUUGGUCUGUCUCUUCAUCUAUUGGUAUCUCACUAUUUUAAUUAUUUAGGCACUAUGGAAGUUUUUAAUACCUGGUAAGGACUCCUUGCUCUUGUUCAGUUUUUUGUUUGUUUGUUUUUGUUUUAAUGAUAACCUCAGAAUCUAACUAAAAGAAAAAAAUCUGUUGUAUUUGGAUUUAUAUUAAAUUGAAAAACUUACGGAGAACUGACAUCUUGCCAUCUUGCUAAUGAUGAUUAUUCCUGUCUAAUAAAUGUGGUAUGUCUUUCCAUUUAUUCCAGUUGUCUUCUGUAUCUUUUAAUAGUAUGGUUAUCUUAAGGUGUUUUCUCUUUUUAUUUUAAUUGGAUGUAGAAUCUUCAGUAAUAUCAUCUAGCAAGUUAUUUGCAUAUUGUACAGUUGUAUGAUGAUAAAUUUGUAUGUUAUUUCUGGCAGAAGAUGUUCUAUUCUGUGCCUUUAGAAGGACACAAUGGGAUGGGGGGGAAUCAAAGGGUGAUAGUCUUAACAAUAAAUAGAGGUUGAGAUCCUAAUCAAGAAUCAAAGCAAUACAUUCUGAGUUGGCAUUCACAAAUGAGUAAGUCAAAUGGUGUGGGGCAUAAUGCUGGGGUGGCCAUGGAAGAAUUCUGCCCAACAGAGGAUGAUGUUCCUUAAGCUUCCAACACAGCAGGUUCAGAGAGGUUAGGAAAAAUAAGCAAGGGAAAGAAACAAGUACUGAUCUAACAAUGACGGAAGCUGACUCCAUGCCUUAGUGGAUGCUUGCGGAGGAUGGCACUAUCUUGGCUGGGCUGACUGUAUUAGCAAUGCAUGUAUCUAAAUCAGCUCUAAAACCCAUAGAGAGACUGGCACUUUAGUGUGAACACGUAAACUGUGGGUGAUGGUCUGUAUUUCACAUAAGUUGUGAUCACUGCAAGGCUCUGCUGGUAUUUUACAAGUCAAAAACAAGUUUCCUCUUCCACAGCCAUAUGUUUGAAAGAUAUGUCCCUUUAAGAAUAAUCAAACUCUCACCCAAAACAUGUAUUUUUCAAACCUAGAGGUUCCAACUUGAAAUACUGGACCACAGGGAUACUCAGCUCAGAUCCUCUUUCAGAAAGGACUUGCUGUCCAGCUCCAGAGUGUCACUAGCAGAUGCCCUCCAGCUGCUAGCUCUUCUAGGGUCCACUUCAACUUUUGGCCUAGGUCACACUCUUCCUAGGCAGCUCCUGGCCAGUAACUGAGCCCAGCAAUGGUCCCAGGGCCCGGUUAUAUCCAUCUAACAGGGGGCUCUGCAAAUGAGCUCCCGGAGGGCUGGCAGAGUGUCUGUCCUAUCAGAGUCCUGGUCAAACCGCUCCCCACACCCAUCAUCUUCCUCCUCUCUUCCUUUCAUUGGUGUUAUCCUCAGUAAACCUUUCACAUCCCUAACUUCAUCUCAGUAUGUCUCCUAAAAAACUCAAAUAGCAAUGAAAAUGUUUAGCAAAUUUUGGGAAAGUAAAGGGGGGAAUAAACAUUCCCACAUAAUGUAGAUCCAGACGAUUCUGGAACUAGAAGUAGAAAGGCCUCAUCACACAAGCCAACUAAAAUGCACCUCAAAGGUUAAUGUCAUCGAAUUUCAAAAGUCCUCGAAACUUCCAUGGUUAUAAACGAGCAUUUCCUGCAUGCUGGACUCUUCAUCGUUGGUCUGGAUUAAUCCUCACUUCCAUUCUAGGUGGUGGGUACAAGGACUUCCAUUUUAUAGACAAGGAAAACCUGAUGUAAGUAAGUGGUAGAAAGCAGAUUCAAAUGCAGGCAGGACUACCUGGCUCCAAAGCCUUUUCCUUUCCAGAUGGUACACUGCCCACAUCUCUUAGUUUAUCGGCACAGGGUCAAGAAGGUGGUGAGGGUAUGGACUGACACGGCAUCUACGGAGCUUUCCAUACUUAUACCAAGACGCCCCCCUGUAAAGAGUGGACUGUCCGGUAGCCGGGCAAGGUGGCUCAUACCUUAAUCCCAGCACUUUGGGAGUCCAAGGCAGAAGGAUCACUUGAGGUCAGGAGUUCGAGACCAGCCUAGCCAACAUGGUAAAACCCUGUCUUUACUAAAAAUGCAAAUAAUAGCCAGGCAUGGUGGUACGUGCCUGAAAUCCCAGCUACUUGGGAAACUGAGGGAUGAGAAUCACUUGAACCCAGGAGGUAGAGGUUGCAGUGAGCCGAGAUCAUGCUACUGCACUCUGACCUGGGUGAGGGAGUGAGAAUUUGUGUCCAAAAAAAAGAAAAAGAGUGAACUGUUCCGCCUUUGUCUGAUGAAGGAAUAUAAUAAUUGGCAGCCAUACACUAUAUUCCCGGGUCAAGGAAUUCCUGGGUCAUUUUCAGCAAGCCUAAAACAAGGUGUUCACACAUUUAUUUAAAAAUAUCCCAACAAAGUGUUGCAAAAUUUCCCUUGAUUGCAAUGAUUCUUUAAGCUGUUAACAUUAAUCUUGGGUGGAUGCAGGAGUUGUCCACUGGCUUUCCAAAAGGCAUCCAAUGCCUUUAAGGCAGCAUAAGAGAAACACUGCCCCUCUCGAUGAACUGGGUCCCUGAGUCUGGCAGUACUGCCCUGUUCUCCACUGUGUCACCUAUACAGGGACCCCUGAGAAGACCAGUGUGCAUGAACCAGAGACUGGACAGUGCCUCUGUUACCAUCACCGUGUGGUAUCAUGAAGAGGUAACCAUCCCGAAGUCACCCAACUUGUCAGCAGAACUACUGGGAAAAGAGCUUAACUUUUCCUGUACUUAAAUUCUUCCAUAUGUAGUUGGAGUUACAGGCCCCAAAGUAAAGACCUAUUAAGCUUGCCUAUAUUGCUCCUAAAUUCUCUACUCGUCUGUUCAUUAUUUCCAAAUUUAAUAAGGCCAUACUGUUGUGUCUUCAUCCUGGUCAAUGCAUCCAAUGAUACCUUGAUAACUUUAUCAGAGCAGUAGCUAGCAGAAGCACAGAGGCACGGAGGAUGUUAAAACUGCUCAACACCACGGUACAAAUGCAUUGUCAGCUUAUGUAGGAGUCUGCUUUUUAUGCAGGCUUAUGCAACUGGUGUAAUUUUAAAAUUUUAUAAGCCAUUUGAAAGAGCAACUUUGAUAUUAAUGAAAUGGGGAGAAAUGUAUAUACAGUCAAAGAAAAGUGUCUUUCCUUUAGCUGAUGUCAGAGACUCCCUAGAAAUGAAAAAUUAUUACUGUCUUUUAGAAAAACAAAGGUUAAAUGGAAAUAGCACUGGCAGGAGUCAUAUCACAACAGCAAAAUAUAACAGGGCCAGGCAAACCAAGGAUAUUGUUGCAAAUGCAGAGCCUUGAUCAGGCUCAUAUCUCGAACCUUUUAUUUUGUAAAGCUGCCAAUUUUAUAGCACAAAAAUUUUAGUUAGGGCACCUUUAAGAUUCACUGCAUCUACUAUGAGAAGAGAGAAUGUCUUAGAAGAGUUUUUAAAAAUACUACUUUGAAACACUUAUGGGCAAACAAGAAUUGGAACACUAAUCACUGUAAUUUCCCCACCAGGAUCACUAGGUAAGACAUUCAGAGAACUGGUGGAAGCAAGUGAUGAUUCAGAUGCAGUAGUAGAACAGAAGAUUGCCAAUCAACUGCAAACAAAGUGCCGCACAGGCCCAUCUCAACUGACAGCAAUGGUAGAGAGAGAAGAGAGAAAGAAGAGAGAGAAGAGAAACGAGAGAAGAGGAGAGAGGAGGGGGAGGAGGAGGAAGGAGGGGGAGGAGGAAGGAGGAGGAGGGAGGAGGAGAAGGAAGGAGGAGGAGGGAGGAGGAGGGGGCAGGAGAAGGAAGGAGGGGAGGAGGAGGAGGGAGGGGAGGAAGAGGGAGGGGGAGGAGGAGGGAGGCGAGGAGGAGGGAGGGGAGGAGGAGGAGAGAGAAGAAUAUGAGAAGGGAAGUUGGGAGAGACACAGCCCGACUGACUCAGAUUCCAAAUUACAUAUGCACAAAGCCCCUCAAAGGUUAUCAUGCCCUAUCUGAUCCAGGGUAAAUGAAAACUAAAUACUGAGGCGCAAUUCACAAGGAAAGUCAGAGUGUCUACACUGUUAACAACAUACAUUGAAUAAAGUAUUAGAAACAUAUUUACUCUUCUCCCUACUCUCGGUGCUACUGACCGUCUACUGAAUACAAGGUACAAGAAGAGUUUGCUAAGUUUUGGGUACUGCCCAGGUCGUUCCACGGCUAACAAGGCAAAAACACUCAUGUAAACUCCUUGGUGGGCCUGGUAUGUUGUGUGUGGAGAGGGUGCCUGAUGAUGUCUUUGAACUUCACUUUUUGGUUUCUCAGCUAUCUCAGAGGUCUGGCUGUAGAAUUACUAAUAUUUUAAACAAUGCAAAUGUAAUUAUAGUUGAAGCAUACUCUUUAACAGAAGGAGGGAAAGAUUGGCAUUUAGAAGCUUCAUUCAACUUUUGGCCUUUUCAAGGCUAAAUGAAUCUUAGGGAAGAAAUAAAAAGUUCCCAUUGAUUCACUUAAAAAAAGAUUUCUUGCAAUUAACAGAUCUAAAUCUAUGAAAAAGGGAGCAUUUAUGGUAAUUUCCAUAAUCUCUCACUUUCUCUAGACAUUUCAAAUCAAAUUGUAAUAAUUAUAAAAUCCCUCCUUCUCUCUAAAUACACACACACACACACACACACAAAUAUAGUUAAUCAGCAAAACUUUUUCUGAUCUCAAGGAAAUGUCAGUUACAUUUACACAAGCCUAACUAGUUUAAGCAAUUUAUUUGUAAGUAGACAUGCCUCCUAGAUUAGGAAAAAAGUGUAUUUAGCUGUAUGGCAUGACACGCCCCCUACCCCAAACCGUAAAUAGUUUUUUUGGCAGGGAGUCAGCAGAAGAGCUAUAAAAACAUCUUCAGGGUAUAGAAAGAUGUUCAGGACUUAGAAUAUACCUUUUCUCAUGGUUCUCUUAUCCCAACGUAUAAAUUGUGACAAUUUGUUUAAAAGAUUGAACUAAACUAUGAUAUUCUCUUUGUCUUCCAAAUUUAUUUAGACUUGGUAUCCUGUUCUUUCUCUGGAAUUUCCUUUGCUUUUCUUUUUGUCAGUAAGCUAAAUUACUUCUCCUCCCACAUGCAUAAAAGCAUUAAUUUAUAAAACACAUAGCCAUAUGUCAUAUCUCAUGUAAUUCUAUUUUACAUUCCACUGCCGCCCAGACUUAUCUAACAUGAACAAAUAGAUAUUAUUUACUGUAGUCAGAAUGAGAAUUAUCUAAUGCCACUUACAUAGCCAUAAAUUGAUUUUUGAUUAAUGUUUAAGCAAAAAGCAAACAAGCCCAUCUGCUCUGAAAACAAACAAACAAAAGGAAGCAGCAAACGCAUAGUUCACAGGAAUUUCUGCAGUAUUACUAUGUUUCAGCGGCUGGUGAGGAUGGAAUUUUUUCAUUGCUAUCGUGAAAAUAUACUGCUUGACAAGAAGAGAACUGCAUAUAUAGAUGCAGCUUCUUCUCUAGCAACUGUUAAUUUAAUAGACUACUACUUAUGGUGAAACAAAAAACAAUCCCACUCUGAAGAAAGCACUGAAGACCUAUAACCAGCGGUGAAUUUCUUCCGUAUUGCUCAGUGGAAACAAAAGAAAGCUCAAAUGGGUGAGUUUUUCUUCUUUCAGGGUUGCUUUCUCUAUGGAUCAAGGUAAGAAGGAAGAAAAGCUAGGUCUCCUAUCUAUCUCACACAGCAGAUUUUAAAAUAUUUUAAAAAUAUUUUAAAUACUUUCAAUUUUUUAAUAUUUUAAAAACUUUUAAAACUAACUACUGUAUCGUGUACCUAUGAAAUUUCGUUUUCAGUGCAAUUCAAAAUUGCUAAGACAAACCAAUAAGAGAAGUAGAAACACGACCAGAAGGCCCUGUCCUGUUUAUUGGUAUCAUCUCUGAGGCUUCCUCAGUAUCUCGCACAGUAUCUGUCAGUUGACAGCUCUAAUCCGUUUAGAGUUAAUUUGUUCUGCGUCUAUUAUGCAGGUAAGAGAAAAAAACUGCUGCAUUAGGUGGGAAUUUCACUAAUACCAAUGAAUUCCCAAUAUUCUAACUUUCUGGGGAAAAAAGAUGCCAAAAAGAGUGAAUGCAUUUUCAACAAAAACAGCAUGUUAGGAUUGUAGCACAGCAGGUUGAAGGAUGAAAGAAUGGUAAGAGCAAUUUCACAGCAACCAAAAUGACACAAGGACACACAUGCCGGUGAGCAAACAAGAGGCACAACUUAAUGACGCAAGAGGAAGCAGUUUGACUUGCAACUUUCAAAAUUAAAUUCUAACCGUGGUAAUAUAAAGACAGCUUUACAUCCCAUUCACCACGUUACACAUAUUGCCAUUUAUUUGCUAACAGCAAAAAUUCAAAUGAGUGUACUUGAGUCUCUAAAUAUUUUCUACAAACGCUCACCCCCAGACUAAGAUAGACACUGCCAAAGUGAACGAGUCACUGCAUGGCUAGAUUUCCAUGUUGAAAAUCUUAGGCUCAUAGCAGAAUACUUGCACAAAUCCUACUGCAUCUCCUUAAAAAUCACUCUACAAGUUGCAUCCUAAGAGUUCUUGUCAAAAUUGUUCUUUAAAGCAUUACACACAUAUGCACACUGGCCUAGAGAACAAGGAUCUUUGUCUUUCUUUGCCAAAAGACAGUGUUUCCCCAGGCCUGUUUUAGCCUUCGACUGAUGGUUCUGAUUUUGGUUCAGAAAAAUAAUUGCAUGACUGUCCUAAAGUGGAAAGAGAAAAACCUCAAAAAUUGUUAACACAUCAAUUACAUCAACCUUUUCUAAUUACAACUCUGCAUUUCAUUAUUCUGCAGGCAAAAUGAGUACCUUAAGUCUAGAGCCCCAGGUAAACAAAGCCUUUCCCUGUCCUCAUUUCAAAACUUUGUUUUUAUAAACAUUCCCCGUCCCCUAAACUGAACUACAGCAGCACAAUGAUCCUGUUGUGAGCACUGCCUUGACCUCUAUAGGACAACAGAUUGUUGUUCACUUAGCCCCUCAGAGUUAAAUCAGUUUUAAUACAGAAGUUUCUGUCUUAUCAAAGGAAGUAAAGAAGUAAAAACAAAAAAUGAACGUAUACAAGCACAGAUUUUUGAGCUUCGAUUGUAGAGAAAUGGUAGUUAUGUGGCUUGCCAAGAAAGUGCAUCACCUACUUCUGCUUCUGGGGACAGAGGUGAAGGGGUCUGUUCUGGAACUUUCUAAGGAGGCCAUCUUCGUUAUUACAUCAGGGAAGUUUCUAGUCAAAAUGUUAUUCCUGUCUACAGGGAAAAACAAAAGCAAAACACAAAAGAACACUGCUUCUAAUGGCAUCAUAGCAAGGAGUUUAUCUAGAAAGAUGAUGCCAGCAGUCACCUCUUUUCCAGGAAGACAGAAACAAAAACCGUUCUCCUCGAGAGGCCAACAGUGUAGAAGCCCCUUUUCCAGAACUUUCCAAGGAGUAGGUGAACUUCUUUGUAAGUGUAUCAGCACAGGGGAGAGUGGUGCUCCAUGUUCCAAGGAAGAAAAGCAACCCACAGCUCCUCCUGCCCGUGCAGCAGAUGACCAGAAAGACGAGAAAGGGAAACAAACUCCCAUUCAUGGUGAGGCUGCUUGUUUCUCAAACACACUUUUCCAAUGCCUCCACAAGUUGUUUGUUUCUGUAUUUUGAAAGCACUCAACAUGCAGAGUAUUUGCUAACCACAGGCAGAGUACCCAGUCAGGAUGUACCAACUCAAACUCCUCCCUGGGGCAGGCAAGGAUAAACAGGGAACAGGUAAGAGAGGCCUAAAAAGCCAGGUGGACAGAGACCACAUGUGACCCCAAACAGAAACAGGCUGCUGGAAACUAACUCUCUCUCUCUCUAGCUGAUACUUAUUCAGCACUUACUGUAUGUCAGGUACUAUUCUAAAAACUUUACGUAUAGUAACUCAGUUUUCACACAGAUGCAAUUAUUUUCCAUACUUUAGAGAUGAGAACAUUGAGGCAUAGAGAGGUUAAGUAAUUUGACCAAGGAAGCACAGCCAGUAAAUGGCAGGCCAAGGAUUUGAACCCAAUCAGUAUUUUUUUUUGUAGCUCAUCUCCAUGGAGUUAGUUGGAGUCUCAUCAGCACUUCCUCGUACAGGGCUCCAUUUUACUGAUUUCUAUCAACCACAGGACAUACUUUUCUUUUUUCUUCGUACCCUGAAGAAGAAAUGCACUAGGUAACUUCAAUAUGAUGGCAGUAAGAUUGUUUUUCAACACAUACACACACACUUUCAAAAAAAACUUAGAGACCAGAUGCGGUGGCUCACGCCUGUAAUUCCAGCACUUCGGGAGGCUACAAGCGAAAGGAAGUCAAGACCAGCCUGGACGGCCAGGCGCAGUGUCUCACGCCUGUAAUCCCAGCACUUUGGGAGGCCGAGGCGGGCGGAUCACCUGAGGUCAGGAGUUUGAGACCAGCCUGGCCAACAUGGUGAAACCCCGUCUCUACUAAAAAUACAAAAGUUAGCCAGGCGUGGUGGCACGCAGCUGUAAUCCCAGCUAGUCUACUCGGGAGGUUGAGGCAGGAGAAUUGCUGGAACCUGGGAGGGAGAGGCUGCAGUGAGCUGAGAUUGCACCACUGCACUCCAACCUCGGUGACAGAGCAAGACUCCACCUCAAAAAAAAAAAAAAAACAAAACAAAAAACAAAAACCCCGCCUGGACAACAAAAUGAGACCCCAUCUCUAUAAAUAAUUAGCCAGUUGUGGUGGCAUACACCUGUAGUCCCCAGCCACUUGGGAGGCUGAGGCAGGAGGACUGCAUGAACCCAGGAGUUGGAGGUUGCAGUGAGCCACGACUGCACUACUGCGCUCCAGCCGGGGUGACAGAGUGAGACUCCAUCUUAACAACUUAAUGGUAAAGCAGGCCUCCAGUACACUUUCUCCUCCCUGUCUUUUCUUCUUUUCUGAAGAUUACUACUUACUCACCGUUCCCCAUUGGUUUAGAUGAUAACAGAAGAAACAGGACACUAUAAAAACCUUAUUUUGCACCACAGAAAGCAAGAUGUGAAGGCAGUCAGGUUUGAUAACAGUGCGCACUGUUUUUGCAGUAUCUUUCAUCACGAGGCUCUCACAUCAUGUGCUCUGAGCUCAUGUAACACACUCUGCUGGAAUGCCCCCAUUCAAGAGGGGAGAGAGUCCGUGACAGUCCUCCCUGCACUCACUGUGCUAGCAAAGAUGUCCGGGAAGGACAGAAAAGAAUGUAAUGUGCAAUUAAAACAAGGGAGAGUGAUUAAUGUAGGCAAAAAUUAAUCACAAGGGCAGUGUCAAAGUUUGGUGGGACAACUGCGUGUUCAGAAGACACCUGAAAAAAGUGAAAUGAAGAACCAAGGAUCAUCUGAGCAAAGACUCAAGGACCAUUUGAACAAAGACAUCCACAUCUAUACCACAGAUGACUUGGCAUCUAUGGAGGAGUGGAGGUGAGCACCACUCUACCAUGUAGAGGAAGCAGCCACUGUGGAGGCUGGGCUUGUGGAGAUUCCUUCUGGAUGCCCUCAGAUCUGUCAUUAAUGGGGACAAAGCAGAAUCAAGGGACUGCUCUAUCUCAUCUACCACUACCAGCUCCACCAUCCAGGGUACUGUUCUUGCCACUGCAUCUAGAAAGAAGAGGAAUGCAAUCUUGCAGUUAGAAAAGGCUGUCUCGCUGAAUAUUUAUUCUCAUUCCUCUACCCAAAACUAAUGAAAAUGUGAAGUCUGAGUGGUGUCUGAACCUAAUAUUUUCGUGUCCGAGGCACACAAGGUUGAGCUGCCACUUCUAGCCAUCUGAACCACCCAGUGUGAGCAUAUAUGUGGCUGGGAGGGUGGGUGGUGAUGGUGGUGGUAGGGAGGUGGGGGAGACUUCUAAUGAGAGGCAGUAGAGAGUAGGGUCUAAGAGUAGGUACUCUAGAGUCACACUGAUUUCGGUUCAAACCCCAGGUCUGCCAUUUACUAGCUGCACUUCCUUGGCCAAAUUACUUAACCUUUCUGUGCCUCAAUUUUUUGUCUCUAAAGUGGGGAUAAAUAGUUGUAUCUGUGGGACAACUGAGUAUAUGGCAAGUGUUUAGAAUAGUACCUGGCAUAGAGUAAGGGCUGAAUGAGUGUCAGCUCCAGCUGUCAUCUAGGUGUAAGCUCACUGGCAGCAGGUGCAAGAUUCUUUUGGAUGGCUAACAAGCUACAGCUUUGGCUGACAGUGCUGUUUGUGAAACCCAGUGGCCUCUUCACUCCAUAGUCAGCCUUCCAGUGCUCCUGCCCUUGGUGGCCUUGGCAGGAGCCUGGGGUUGAGUGGGGACUCAGACAACUGAAGCUCUCCCAGCAAAAGCAGGAUCCCCACGUCUCCCACUGACACUAAAAAACAAAUUCUUGAAUUUUUCCCGGGUCUGCUGAGUGAUCACAAGAGGACAGCUGGGGCUGGAUGACAGAGCCUCAGCAGUGACAGGGAAGCCUGCUUACUUCCCUCAUGCUCAGAGUGCCUUUUGGCCACGGGCUUAUUUCAGCUGUCUUGUGUUCCAUUUCUGAGGCUCUAAAGGGAUGCUCUGGGAACUGGGAUCUAGGAAUAAAUCAAGAUGAGUGGGGCAAGGUUAAUACCCUGAUUAGAUCAGCCUGGCCCAACGCCCUUUGACCUUAGAGUACUGGAAAAGUCUUGACAGGCAAGGGCAUGAAAAGGUCAUGUGCUCCAGGGGCACUGUCUUCAAAGAGGAGCCUUCCUGGGGUAAACAGGCGCAUCUACCUUCUCAAUAACAGGUUCAAAAUUCAAGAAAGCAAACAGCAUUCCCUAACUAUCAAUAUUCCACUAAGUCCUAGAAUAGUUUUAGUUUUUAACAUCCCAGAUAGCAUUUUCAAUUGUAAUGCCUGGAAUGAGAGGCAGAGGAUCUUCAGGGUCACGUGCUAUUUUUUAUGGGUUUACAUGAAGGAUGCAGAUGUCAUUUUAAUUUUUAUCUUUCUAAACAUAGUUUGGCCACCAUCCCUGCUGAAGACCACAGUGAGUCCAAAGAACAUGGUUAACUGAAAUACACAGAUAAUCACAGAAAUUACUUUUAGGCAAUGAUGUCAACUUUGUCCCACUGAUGGAAGAAAAUAAAAAAGCUGAAAUUAGAAAAUCUAAGUUUUUUCUCAUAAAGGUGAACCCCAAACCUGUCCAAUAAUACUCUACUAAAUAAAGUCUGUUAGUAAAGAAGGGAUGAAAAAAAUCAGUACCUAAAAGACUCUCAGGCCGUGAAAAUGAUUUUGUAAAUUCUCAAAUGGGCUUUGCAAGCCAACAGAUCCAAAUCACAACUGUGGUCAAGGCAUUCUGCAGAGUCUCAAUGCUAGGUGAAGAAGGCAUCUUGGGAACCAGCAGACUGCCACUCUCUCAACAUUGAAAAGAUAUCUCCAUUCUUUGAAAGUCACUUUCAGCCACCCAGAAAGUUACCUGGAGAAAAGUAUGGUGAAUGAAACUGUUUAGAGUUUGAGAAGGAGCAGGUCUUUCCUAUGUAAAAAUUCCAAUGAAUAAAUGACAAUAAGAUAGAAAAUUGCCAUUAAAGCAUGGCAGUAAUAAUUAUUGUAGAUAAGCUCCACCAAAGCAUGACAAGAUCAGUGAGUGACAAUGUGAUGAGAAACAGGACCUUGGCCAGUUGUGGUUGGGAGGCUGAGGUGGGAGGCCAGGAGUUCGAGACCAGACUGGGCAACAUAGUGAGUUUCUACAAAAAAUUUAAAAAUUGGUGAAGGCCAGGCAUGGUAGCUCAUGCCUGUAAUCCCAGCACUCUGGGAGGCCGAGGUGGGCGGUCAGGAGAUCAAGACCAACCUGGCCAACAUGUGAAACCCCGUCUCUACUAAAAAUACAAAAAUUAGCUGGGUGUGGUGGUGCCUGCCUGUAAUCCCAGCUACUUGGGAGGAGGCUGAGGCAGGAGAACUGCUUGAACCAGGGAGUUGGAGGUUGCAGUGAGCCGAGAUUGCGCCACUGCACUCCAGUCUGGCGACUGAGCGAGAUUCUGCCCAAACAAAAAAACAAACAAACAAAACUGGUGGGGCACUAAUUAGUGAUGGUGCACACUAGCUACUUGGGAAACUGAGAUGGGAGGAUUGCUCAAACCCAGAAGUCUGAGGCUGCACUCCCCUGCCUGGGCAACAGAGCAAGACUGUCUCAAAAAAAGAAAAAAGAAAAGAAAUAUGAAAAAAGAGAAACGAGACAUCUGCAUACUGUGAGUAUCAGCCCUAAGAUAUCAGUAACAAUGCGAAAAGCAGAAAAUUUACACUGGAGAAACCUGGCAGGCACCACCUCAAUCAAGUGUUCAAGGCUAAGAGAUCAUCAGUGGUAAGAUGCUGACAUCACACAGAUGUGACGCACUGAGAUGCAAUGUCAAUCUUGUAGUAGUCUUCCCCAAAAUGUAUAAAAAUGAGUUUAAUGAUGAGAAACAUUAGAACCAAUUUGGAGCAUUCUAUGCAACAACCUGUCCAUACUAUUCAAAAAUAUCAAGGUCAUGAAAAACAAGCAAAGAUAGACACAUUUUUACAGACUGGAGAAGACUAGAUAUAGUAAGUAAACACAAUGAAGGAUGUUGGGACUGAAAAAGGAUAUUAGUGGGAAAACUGGUGAAAUUCAAAUAGUCCAUGGUUAACAGUAUUGUGUCAUUGUUAAUUUCUUGGCUGUGAGAAUUGGUGUAUAGAUUAUGUAAAAUGCUAACGUUAGGGAAAACUGGGUGAUAUUUUACAAACUUUUUUUUUUUUUUUUUUUAAAGAGACAGGGUCUUAAUCUGUCUCCAAGACUGUUGUGCAGUGGCAUGAUCAUAGUUCACUGCAGCCUGGAACUCCUGGCUCAUGCGAUCCUCCCACCUCAGCCUCCCAAGUAGCUGAGACUACAGCCACGUGCCACCACUGCUGGCUACUUAAUUUCUUUUUUUUUGUAGAGAUAGUCUCACAGCUUGGUCUCAAACUCCUGGCUUUAAGAGAUUUGUCUUGGUUUCCCAGAGCACUGGGAUUAUAGGUAUAAGCCACCAUGCCUGGAUGCUUUUUCAACUUUUUUGUAAGUCUAAAAUUAUUUCAAAAUAAAAAGCUGAGAGAGAGAGAAAAAAAAAAAUCAGUUCAGUUUCUCCCCGGCCAGUGGGGUCAUCCUCACUACAAAGUUGCUGGUUUGGGCUCUAGCUCUGCGGAUUUUCCUCACUGGACGAAUUUCAUAAUUGUCGCUACCACUGAUAUUACACAAUUGAGAUUCUAACUGAAUGGAGAGUGAUGGAAGAACAUGAAUGAAGAAGUCAUGCUGACAUUGGGGAAAGAGAACUUACUGAAAAUUUUUAAAAUGUUAAAUAUUUUACAUUAUCUUCACAAUCCCUGUACCCCCAACACCUUCCACAGCAAAUCUCCCUCAACAAUACUUCAGUAAUCUGGCUAGAGCCCAAAACAAAUACUUCUUAUUCAGAACUUGGCUUUGAAGAAAAUGCAGCCCUAACAAAAUUUUAAGUAAGUUACUGAAGGAUGCAGAGGCUUCAUUUUACAGGAGUUAGUUCCAGAGGUGAUUUUGGGACCAGCAUUAUUCCCAGACCCCAACCACAUCUAAAGCUGCCAGGAGGGUCUGGCUUUUGAUUCCUCUGUGACUCCUUUCCAGACUAAAUCAAUGUCACUUGGUUCCAACAACUGCAGCUCUUCCCUACUCUUUGACCUGCUGUGCCUAAAAUUUAACUUUCCCAAAUUGAGGAGGGUUCAUCCUCCUUGCCUGGGUCAAUCCUUGGGGUGGACAAAAGGUAUUAAGACAACUAUGGAAGCCUAUCCACUCUGUCGAGAGAAACAAUUACUCCUAAAGAAAAUCUCUACUUAAAGCCACGAUUAAAGUCACUCUCCUCUUCAUCCCUCAACAACUUGCUUUGAAAGGGUAAGAAGGGAAAGAAGAUGAGUGCUUCCACUUCGCUGGUAGGGGUGAAUGGUAGGUAGUCCUAUCUGCACUCUUUCCAUCUAGUCCCCUACACAUAAUAGCAACAAGUGUGCUAGUUGUAUGCUACAGUUGUUGUAGCCUCUUAGCAGAGCCUUCAAAUCCUGGUGUGUGGGUGUAGGUCUGUGUGGGAAGGUGUGUGGGUGUAGGUUUGUGUGGGAAGGUGUGUGGGUGUAGGGGUGGGUGUGUGUGGGUGUAGGGGUGGGUGUGUGUGGGUGUAGGGGUGUGUGUGUGUGUGUGUGUGUGUGUGUGUAGGGGGGGUGUUCUCUUGCCCUGGCCACCUAAAAAGCCUAAGUUACUACUGACAAAGGAUCCUAUUCCUUUUCACUCAAUAUAAGCCUAUAAGACAUCUCAACACUCGCCAUCUUACAAACAUAGAGAAGCAUCUGGGUGUCUGGGCGUGCCCUGGACCCACAAAAAUCCCUAACCAAAACUGUUAGCUCUGACAACGGUUUAAGCAGAAGUAAUAGCAUAUACCUCUGAAGGCAGAGGUUUGGUUUUUAUUGCUAGGUUUACUCCUGCUCGUUUAUAAGGAUGCCCUAAAUGCCAUCUCCCAAUGAAAACCCUUCCAUGUCCAGGGGCAAAGGAUGCUCUGGACCCUCAAUGCUUGAGCCUACUGAACCAUCCAGGACCACUUCGCUUGGCUCGUCUAGUGAUGCAGAGCUGUUACAUGGUUCUGCAAAGGAUUCUCAGAGAGAUUCCCACCUCACAGUCACUGCUUUGCUUUCAGAUAUUUCUGGUAACCCCCAGAGUUCAGUGUCUUUCUAGCUUGAUUUGUCCCAACAGAAUGGAGCCUUAUUGAACCUAUGGAUCAAUUCUGGUGAAAUGUCAAAUAAGGCAAAAUAAAACAGAAGUAAGUGUGAAGGCAAGAGUUUUUACCAGAAUCUGACCCUUUGGUGAGAUAACUCACGUGACGGAAAGCUCUGAUGAUAUUGCUGAAGCUGGAGUGUUUAAUGACCUCCAUUUUCUCAAGAGCAUUUUCCCUGUAAACAAAGAUGACAACUGUUACAGCCAGAGAAAGUGACAGCUUCUGAGGUUUCCACCAUAAACACUUGCUGAGGCUCCACUGAUGCCAGGCACCAUGGUGAUGCUGGUGAUCUAAAGACAAGAGUCAGGCUUAAAAGCUUUGCAAACUCUUUCCCAAAAAAGGUACAGUCUAGGCAAAGUUCAAGCUGUAAACUUGUAACUUCAACAUCAGCUGUUACAUGCUCCAGCAAUAGAAUGGAUUAAUUUCUUGGGGACAGAGGAGAGGAUAUUAAGGGUAAAGAAGGAUUUUAAUUAGGAGAUGACAUCUGGCAAGUCCUCAUAAACCCAGCAGCACAGAGCUGGCCACAUAAAUCAAACCCUUGUAUUCAGGGUCCAUACUAUUACUCAACAAGGGUAAUUCGAGUAAUUACCAGAGUUAUCAUGAUCCAACACAUAAGUUCAUUUGAGGACCCUGACUAUGCAAGCAUGAAUAUUUUUUUGGCUGCCUCUAGAUAGCAUGUUUAUGAAAAACAGGUUAAGUUACUGGCUCCAAAUUACUUUUUAAUAAAAAAAGCAAACAAUAAAAGCUUAAGCUUUUAAGAUUUUUCUUUUUUGUUUUUAACCUGGAAAAUAAAUCUCCCUGUCAAAAACAUGCAAAAUGAAUGAUUUAUGUGAUAUAAGCUUGGGUAUCUGUGUUAUUAUUACAUGACAUUUCCUAACAGCUUAUAAUUGCCUUAAAGAUUGUUUUGGAAAGGUUAUACCUUCUCCCUAUUCCCAUUCCCUUUAAAUAAACCCUUGUGUAAUCUCUGGAAAUUUUUAGACUACAACUAUCAAUGGGCCAUUCAAAAAUGGAGCCAUUGUCAAGUCACCCACAUGAAAUAGUGAAGGUUUACAACCAAAAGAGAAUCGCUCACUUCCACAAAAUAGCUGAUGGAAAUACUGUGCUCCGGGGGCUUACGUGGAACAAACAUUAGGAAGGUGUCUACCUGCAAACCCGCUCUAAGGCUGGACCAAACCAGGGGGUCCAGGUCAAUCACAAGUACUGAAUCAACCAGGAAAGUCCACAGAAUACUGAGAGCCAUCAAUGACACCACUUUAGAAUUUAACUGUUCCAAACCCUUUGUUUGGCAGAUGGGGAAAGGAGAGGUAGAGGGAGAUCAGAAGAGUCAAUACAAGAAUCUUGGCUGAUUGGCUGGUUUUUCUAAUAUGGUUCAUUCACCACAUCAUGUUAUUCUAUUGAAGUUCAGGAGAGGGUACCAGGGGAUACCUCAACCCAAAAUGACUUCUUCACAGUUUUAAGUCUAGGGGGAAAGGCCCAUAAUGUAGUCCUCACCACUUUUUCCUAGGAAUGGCUAGCAUCAGACAUGACCUAAAUCUGUAGAGCUAGUUCAACAUUCAGGUUACCAAACAAAGUCAUGAAAGAAUGUAAUUACUAUCACAGACAUAGACUGUCUAGGUUCUAAAGCAAUUAAGCUGGUAACGUACUAUUUACAAUAAAAAAAUUGGUUUCACAAACCUGUAACAGAGACCAGGUAAAUGUGCCAGAAAUUGUAUAAACCAUGGCAUACCUUGUAUCAAUUUUUAUGUAGACACAGCAAGCAAACACAGUUUUGGAAGAUAAUUCCUAUAUUCCAACUUAGCAUAAGGUAAUUAACUGUGUCUUAAAAGAGGAAAAGAAAGGAGCCUAGAGCUUUAUUAGGUGUCCCACCUAACUUAAAUUUGUUUUUCUAGAAAAAAACCAUGCACUCAAGAAAGGCAAUCAAGAUCUACAUACUUAAUUCACAUUCACAGAAACUUGUGAAUAUAUCUGUAAAAGGAUUAUCAUUAAUCCUUCAAGCUCCUAGAGUAGGAAUACAAUACCCGGGCAGUGGUUCAAGAAAUCUAACUCGUGAGAAGGUUACACAUCUCAGGGGUAAUCUAAUAAUGUAAACUUUUACAAACUUUCCUUCCUGGUCUCUUGCCUUCAGUAGGUCAUUCAUUUAAAAACAUAAUGAGCUCCUGGAAUAUGCUGGGGACCCUGUGGGGAAUAAGGCACUUGUGAUUCCUGCACCCAAGAGUGUAGCUGGGGCUACAGGAAUGUUUUAAGACACCUCUUAACUGUUUAACCGCUAGUGUUUUAAGACAUAAUUCCUGCCCUCCUGGAGUUUACAGUCUCCUUGGGCACACAGAAUCUGUGCAUAAUAAUAGAAUUACAUAGAAGUAGAGGGACAGAAGACAAAAACAAUGUGAGUUUGGGGCAAAAGGAAGAAUUUCUUGGAGUCUAAAGAAAAGGAUCCAGACCCAAGAAGCAGAGGAAUGAAGGCUAUUUCCAGUGUUGAGGCGUCCCAAACAUGGCACUCUUGACAUGCUGAAGCAGCCUCAAGGUCCCUGACCCCCCUUCCUCAUCCUUUGUCUCUCGCAAAGCACAGGACAAGGCUGUUCUCUGAAGUUCCCUUACCCACCUAGAAACCAGAUCCCCAAAGAGGAACACUACGGCCUGCAAUUGCACCCUGCCAUCCACCAGCUCAAGACUGAGGAAUGCAACCAUACCCAGACAGACUUUUUCACAAGACAAUUUCUGCCUCUGGAGCGUGUUCAAAUUCUAAAGAGCAUCAUUUACAAGUAAAUUGCUGUCUCAGGGAAAUAUUCAUUUUCCCUGAAAAUCAUUUACUCCUACACCCCCAAUACCUUCUCACCAAUAAAUAAAGCAUUUAAGGAUCAA
Molecule: long non-coding RNA, 20494 nt
Organism: Homo sapiens (human)
Lineage: Eukaryota; Metazoa; Chordata; Mammalia; Primates; Hominidae
Gene: IGF1R-AS3
Exons: 2
Source: RefSeq, a predicted model, not a curated record